UUGCUUUUGCGUCAAUUGGGGUAC
RNAcentral lists this non-coding RNA (24 nucleotides) under Rattus norvegicus (Norway rat). Lineage: Eukaryota; Metazoa; Chordata; Mammalia; Rodentia; Muridae. The record is from RNAcentral.